This 95-nucleotide small nucleolar RNA is filed under the name Oryza punctata. RNAcentral's name for it is "Small nucleolar RNA SNORD96 family". It matches the Rfam family "Small nucleolar RNA SNORD96 family". Rfam says of the family: snoRNA Z37 is a member of the C/D class of snoRNA which contain the C (UGAUGA) and D (CUGA) box motifs. Z37 acts as a methylation guide for 5.8S ribosomal RNA. Lineage: Eukaryota; Viridiplantae; Streptophyta; Magnoliopsida; Poales; Poaceae. The record is from Rfam by way of RNAcentral.
GGGUCUGUGAUGAAAUCUGGGAAAAAAAAAUACCAUCUUUCGGGACUGAUUUGGCUUUCAUCAGCCAUGUUGUCACUUCCAAGAUCCUGAGGUCU